This 72-nucleotide transfer RNA is filed under the name Amphibalanus amphitrite. RNAcentral's name for it is "tRNA-Thr". It matches the Rfam family "tRNA". Rfam says of the family: Transfer RNA (tRNA) molecules are approximately 80 nucleotides in length. Lineage: Eukaryota; Metazoa; Arthropoda; Thecostraca; Balanomorpha; Balanidae. The record is from Rfam by way of RNAcentral.
GCCGCCUUAGCUCAGAGGCAGAGCACCUGUCUCGUAAACAGGGGGUCGUGAGUUCGAUUCUCACAGGCGGCA